This 69-nucleotide transfer RNA is filed under the name Ictidomys tridecemlineatus (thirteen-lined ground squirrel). RNAcentral's name for it is "Spermophilus tridecemlineatus (thirteen-lined ground squirrel) tRNA". It matches the Rfam family "tRNA". Rfam says of the family: Transfer RNA (tRNA) molecules are approximately 80 nucleotides in length. Their secondary structure includes four short double-helical elements and three loops (D, anti-codon, and T loops). Lineage: Eukaryota; Metazoa; Chordata; Mammalia; Rodentia; Sciuridae. The record is from Rfam by way of RNAcentral.
GGGGUUGUGGCUCAGAGGUAGAGCGCUUGCCUACCAUGCAUGAGGCACUGAGUUUCAUUCUCAGCACCA